Molecule: ribosomal RNA, 164 nt
Filed under: uncultured bacterium
Lineage: Bacteria
Description: partial 16S ribosomal RNA
Rfam family: Bacterial small subunit ribosomal RNA
Source: RNAcentral
UGGGGAAUUUUGGACAAUGGGCGCAAGCCUGAUCCAGCCAUGCCGCGUGAGUGAAGAAGGCCUUCGGGUUGUAAAGCUCUUUCGGCCGGGUAAGAAAUCGUGGUCUCUAACAUAGGCCAUUGGAUGACGGUACCGGACUAAGAAGCACCGGCUAACUACGUGCC